Long non-coding RNA from Cygnus olor (mute swan), 234 nucleotides. RefSeq lists it as uncharacterized. The record is from RefSeq and is a predicted model, not a curated record. NCBI's taxonomy places the organism in Eukaryota, Metazoa, Chordata, Aves, Anseriformes, Anatidae. The transcript is spliced from 3 exons.
GGUGUCCAAUGGAAAUAGAACUAUGAGCGGUGAGCAGCGCUCACCACCAGAUCCCCCAGGAGAAGCCACCUUUGCACACCUGGUCCCUGGCAACUGCUCCUGACAUCGCUGGGCUCACCAGCAUUGCUACCACCAUGCCCUAGCCAGGGGCACGCAGAGCCAUUUGGCCAGCAAGUUUCUGACAAGGAGGAGGAGGUGGAGGAGGAGGAGGCGGUGGAGGAGGAGGAGGCGGUG